Molecule: ribosomal RNA, 564 nt
Filed under: Triticum aestivum (bread wheat)
Lineage: Eukaryota; Viridiplantae; Streptophyta; Magnoliopsida; Poales; Poaceae
Description: partial small subunit ribosomal RNA
Source: RNAcentral
AUGCUAUUGCAUGCUUCUUCGCCUAUGACCGGCAAAGCACAAUGUAUAGGAUGUUUGGACAAAGAGCUACAAGGAGAGCACUCUUCAACGAUGGGAAUAUCCAAUGAAGCUGCAAAUUGUUGGGUGUAUGUAUAUGUGUACCGAAGUUCAGUUGAAUCCUGUGGGAAAAAAGAAGUAUUGGGACUGCGUAUCCAAGCAAUUGAUGUCAUGGACUCCUUCAUAGAACCUUGUAAGCGAAAAAGAAGUUGCCGUGUGCCUGUACAAAGAGCUAGCGAUCCAACUGAAACUCCGUUGGCACAACAGAUAUGUUUUCAGAAACUUCCUUGUUUACCUGGUUUGUUGACUUGCUGCUGUAAUCAUCUUACCAACUUCAAGUUUUCACGUUCCAAUUGGAAGUCCAAUUGCACAACAGAAACUCCAAUGCCACAACAGGAUCCAAGAGAAACUCCAAUGCCACAACAGGUACCUUUUGGAAAACCUUUUUGUUUAACUGCUUUGCUGCUGCAACAACCGGUUACAAUAAUGUCAAUAACUACUUUUCAGCAUCCAAUUGAAACUCUUUAA